UCCCAUUUGUAAUGCCUAUAAAAUUAUGCAGAGUGGACCACUGCAAUAUACCUAAUAAACCAUCUGGCAUUGCUUUUGUUUUUCCCAGAAACUGCCUAGCACACAUUAUACCAAAAGGAGUGCAUCUGCCUACACACAGAGCACACAGACCGGCUUGCUCACUGAAGUUUUCCCUACUGAAGAGUUCAAGGUCAUUGUCUCCUACUUGGAUUAAAUCCUUCCCAUCCUUCCGUCCCAAAGUCCCAGCAUCCUUGCAACAUGUUGUAUAAAAUUAAGAGGUUAAAAAGAAGAAAGGAUAUUUGCAGAACAUUUGGAAAUACAUCUAAAUAUUGGGAUACUAUACUGGGUAGACCAAAUAACUUUGUGAUUAUUUCUCUGUCCUAUUUAAAACAAUAAAAAGAAUUCAAUAGUUACCUGUCCCUCUAGA
Long non-coding RNA from Bos indicus x Bos taurus (hybrid cattle), 427 nucleotides. Lineage: Eukaryota; Metazoa; Chordata; Mammalia; Artiodactyla; Bovidae. The record is from Ensembl.